This 66-nucleotide transfer RNA is filed under the name Ectenagena elongata. Its description in RNAcentral is "tRNA-Ile". The record is from RNAcentral. Lineage: Eukaryota; Metazoa; Mollusca; Bivalvia; Venerida; Vesicomyidae.
UAGAAGGUAAGCUAAAUGGAGCUGUUUGGGUAAUACCCAUACUGUAGAAUAAUAUUCUUCUUUUAU